GUCUAUGGCCAUGCCACUCUGAACAAGACUGAUGUCUGAUCUCGAGAAGCUAAGCAGGGUUGGGCCUGGUUAGCACUUGGAUGGGAAACAACCCAGGAAGACCAGGAACUGUAGGCA
Non-coding RNA from Pteropus alecto (black flying fox), 117 nucleotides. Lineage: Eukaryota; Metazoa; Chordata; Mammalia; Chiroptera; Pteropodidae. The record is from Rfam.